This 309-nucleotide unclassified non-coding RNA is filed under the name Hevea brasiliensis (rubber tree). Lineage: Eukaryota; Viridiplantae; Streptophyta; Magnoliopsida; Malpighiales; Euphorbiaceae. The record is from RNAcentral.
AAGAUUUUGGUGCAAUUGAGGAUUCUGAUUCUUUCUGCCGAUACCUGCUAGAUAAGGCACAGGUUGCACUGGUCCCAGGGGGCGCCUUCGGAGAUGACACCUGCAUACGCAUCUCUUAUGCAGCAUCUCUCACAACCCUACAGGCAGCUGUAGAGAGAAUUAAGAAAGCACUUGUUCCACUGAAGCCUGCUGUCCCUGUUUGAAGUAGGUAGACGUGAACAUAAAUUGUGAUAAUUUGUUGUACUCUUUUAUCAUCAAUAAUGAUAUGAUAGAAUCCCAUUGUCGUUUGGACUAUGCACGAGUUGGUAU